Molecule: ribosomal RNA, 1206 nt
Filed under: Acinetobacter venetianus
Lineage: Bacteria; Pseudomonadati; Pseudomonadota; Gammaproteobacteria; Moraxellales; Moraxellaceae
Description: bacterial SSU rRNA
Rfam family: Bacterial small subunit ribosomal RNA
Source: RNAcentral
GCUAACACAGGCGACGAUACCGUAGCCGUCCGAGGAUGAUCGCCACUGGAGCUGAGACCUGCCGACUCUACCGGAGGCAGGCAGUGGGGAAUAUGACAAUUGGGGACCUGAUCAAGCAUGCCGCCGGUGUGGUGAAGAAGCCUUUUGUGUAAAGCCACUUUAAGUGGGGGAGGAGGCUACCUGGUUAAUACCUGGCUAAGUGGACGUUACCCACAGAAUAAGCACCGGGCUAACUCUGUGCCAGCAGCCGCGGUAAUACAGAGGGUGCGAGCGUUAAUCGGAUUUACUGGGCGUAAAGCGCGCGUAGGUGGUUAAUUAAGUCAAAUGUGAAAUCCCCGAGCUUAACUUGGGAAUUGCAUUCGAUACUGGUUAGCUAGAGUAUGGGAGAGGAUGGUAGAAUUCCAGGUGUAGCGGUGAAAUGCGUAGAGAUCUGGAGGAAUACCGAUGGCGAAGGCAGCCAUCUGGCCUAAUACUGACACUGAGGUGCGAAAGCAUGGGGAGCAAACAGGAUUAGAUACCCUGGUAGUCCAUGCCGUAAACGAUGUCUACUAGCCGUUGGGGGAUUUGAUCCUUUAGUGGCGCAGCUAACGCGAUAAGUAGACCGCCUGGGGAGUACGGUCGCAAGACUAAAACUCAAAUGAAUUGACGGGGGCCCGCACAAGCGGUGGAGCAUGUGGUUUAAUUCGAUGCAACGCGAAGAACCUUACCUGGCCUUGACAUAGUAGAAACUUUCCAGAGAUGGAUUGGUGCCUUCGGGAAUCUACAUACAGGUGCUGCAUGGCUGUCGUCAGCUCGUGUCGUGAGAUGUUGGGUUAAGUCCCGCAACGAGCGCAACCCUUUUCCUUACUUGCCAGCAUUUCGGAUGGGAACUUUAAGGAUACUGCCAGUGACAAACUGGAGGAAGGCGGGGACGACGUCAAGUCAUCAUGGCCCUUACGGCCAGGGCUACACACGUGCUACAAUGGUCGGUACAAAGGGUUGCUACCCAGCGAUGGGAUGCUAAUCUCAAAAAGCCGAUCGUAGUCCGGAUCGCAGUCUGCAACUCGACUGCGUGAAGUCGGAAUCGCUAGUAAUCGCGGAUCAGAAUGCCGCGGUGAAUACGUUCCCGGGCCUUGUACACACCGCCCGUCACACCAUGGGAGUUUGUUGCACCAGAAGUAGGUAGUCUAACCGCAAGGACGACGGUUUCCCUUCUAUGUUUUCGCA